GGAGAGAUGACCGAGAGGCUGAAGGUGCACGCCUGGAAAGCGUGUGUACCCGCAAGGGUACCGAGGGUUCGAAUCCCUCUCUCUCCGCCA
This 90-nucleotide transfer RNA is filed under the name Desulfosalsimonas propionicica. Its description in RNAcentral is "tRNA-Ser". It matches the Rfam family "tRNA". Rfam says of the family: Transfer RNA (tRNA) molecules are approximately 80 nucleotides in length. Their secondary structure includes four short double-helical elements and three loops (D, anti-codon, and T loops). Further hydrogen bonds mediate the characteristic L-shaped molecular structure. tRNAs have two regions of fundamental functional importance: the anti-codon, which is responsible for specific mRNA codon recognition, and the 3' end, to which the tRNAs corresponding amino acid is attached (by aminoacyl-tRNA synthetases). tRNAs cope with the degeneracy of the genetic code in two manners: having more than one tRNA (with a specific anti-codon) for a particular amino acid; and 'wobble' base-pairing, i.e. permitting non-standard base-pairing at the 3rd anti-codon position. Lineage: Bacteria; Pseudomonadati; Thermodesulfobacteriota; Desulfobacteria; Desulfobacterales; Desulfosalsimonadaceae. The record is from RNAcentral. RNAcentral also lists the same sequence under 3 other names.